This is a long non-coding RNA of Pomacea canaliculata, 542 nucleotides long. RefSeq lists it as uncharacterized. NCBI's taxonomy places the organism in Eukaryota, Metazoa, Mollusca, Gastropoda, Architaenioglossa, Ampullariidae. The transcript is spliced from 3 exons. The record is from RefSeq and is a predicted model, not a curated record.
CUUUGGUGUGGCUGCAAGCAGCAGUUGUUGACGGGUGCACUGCAAACUAUCACGAGUGUAACAGUUGGACAGCACCGUGUUGCUCAAAUUCGGUUUGCGUGAGAGAGGGAAUAGAGAGGGAAUAUAUAUGCAAGGACAAAAAGGACGUCUGCUGGAUAUUCUCUGAUGGUGUCAAGACUUGUCUACAGCCUGGAGGGUAACGUAAAAGGAGAUAAUCAAUCAAGGGCUCUACUUCAUGAAGAUUUCAAAGUUUUUCAGAAAAACAAGCUGUCACGACAACUCUUAAAUGCCGAUUUGAUUGUCCGCUAAAGUUGUGAACCUAUAUUUAUUGUUCUACUGCAGAUUAAUCAGUAAACUGAACGUAAAUCUUUCUAUCUUUGCUUUGCUCAUUGUAUUCCUGGCAAGUAAAAUAGGUGUGAGUCAUGUGUGUGGCUAAUUUAAAAGCUUUUUAUCCUAAGUUUUCAAAUAUGCUAAAUGUAAAUACAAAUCACACUAGUCUCUCAUAAGUCGCUCGAAUCAAACUGCCUCAAUACCUGUAUUUG